RNAcentral lists this small RNA (28 nucleotides) under Bombyx mori (domestic silkworm). Its description in RNAcentral is "ovarian small RNA-33132". Lineage: Eukaryota; Metazoa; Arthropoda; Insecta; Lepidoptera; Bombycidae. The record is from RNAcentral.
UGAUUGGAUUUAAUUGUGCAGGUCUGGA